Molecule: ribosomal RNA, 442 nt
Filed under: uncultured bacterium
Lineage: Bacteria
Description: partial 16S ribosomal RNA
Rfam family: Bacterial small subunit ribosomal RNA
Source: RNAcentral
CCUACGGGAGGCAGCAGUGGGGAAUAUUGGGCAAUGGGCGAAAGCCUGACCCAGCAACGCCGCGUGAAGGAAGAAGGCUUUCGGGUUGUAAACUUACUUUGACAGGGAAGAGCAGAAGACGGUACCUGUCGAAUAAGUCACGGCUAACUACGUGCCAGCAGCCGCGGUAAUACGUAGGUGGCAAGCGUUGUCCGGAUUUACUGGGUGGAAAGGGCGUGUAGCCGGGCUGAAAAGUCAGAUGUGAAAUCCGGGGGCUCAACCCCCGAGCUGCAUUUGAAACUGUUGGUCUUGAGUAUCGGAGAGGCAGGCGGAAUUCCUAGUGUAGCGGUGAAAUGCGUAGAUAUUAGGAGGAACACCAGUGGCGAAGGCGGCCUGCUGGACGACAACUGACGGUGAGGCGCGAAAGCGUGGGGAGCAAACAGGAUUAGAUACCCUGGUAGUC